RNAcentral lists this unclassified non-coding RNA (301 nucleotides) under uncultured fungus. Its description in RNAcentral is "sequence contains ITS1". The stretch from base 1 to 105 matches the Rfam family "5.8S ribosomal RNA", at positions 50 to 154 of the family's 154-position model. Lineage: Eukaryota; Fungi. The record is from RNAcentral.
GAAAUGCGAUAAGUAAUGUGAAUUGCAGAAUUCAGUGAAUCAUCGAAUCUUUGAACGCACAUUGCGCCCAUUAGUAUUCUAGUGGGCAUGCCUGUUCGAGCGUCAUUUCAACCCCUAAGCACAGCUUAUUGUUGGGAAUCUACGCCCUAGUAGUUCCUCAAAGACAUUGGCGGAGUGGCAGUAGUCCUCUGAGCGUAGUAAUUCUUUAUCUCGCUUUUGUUAGGUGCUGCCUCCCCGGCCGUAAAACCCCCAAUUUUUUCUGGUUGACCUCGGAUCAGGUAGGAAUACCCGCUGAACUUAA